This 660-nucleotide ribosomal RNA is filed under the name uncultured bacterium. RNAcentral describes it as "bacterial SSU rRNA". It matches the Rfam family "Bacterial small subunit ribosomal RNA", at positions 35 to 674 of the family's 1533-position model. The record is from RNAcentral.
GCUGGCGGCGUGCCUAAUACAUGCAAGUCGAGCGGACCAAAUCGGAGCUUGCUCUGAUUUGGUCAGCGGCGGACGGGUGAGUAACACGUGGGCAACCUGCCCGGAAGACCGGGAUAACUCCGGGAAACCGGAGCUAAUACCGGAUAACACCGAAGACCGCAUGGUCUUUGGUUGAAAGGCGGCCUUUGGCUGUCACUUGCGGAUGGGCCCGCGGCGCAUUAGCUAGUUGGUGAGGUAACGGCUCACCAAGGCGACGAUGCGUAGCCGGCCUGAGAGGGUGACCGGCCACACUGGGACUGAGACACGGCCCAGACUCCUACGGGAGGCAGCAGUAGGGAAUCUUCCGCAAUGGGCGAAAGCCUGACGGAGCGACGCCGCGUGAGCGAAGAAGGCCUUCGGGUCGUAAAGCUCUGUUGUGAGGGACGAAGGAACGCCGUUCGAAGAGGGCGGCGCGGUGACGGUACCUCACGAGGAAGCCCCGGCUAACUACGUGCCAGCAGCCGCGGUAAUACGUAGGGGGCGAGCGUUGUCCGGAAUUAUUGGGCGUAAAGCGCGCGCAGGCGGUUCCUUAAGUCUGAUGUGUAAGCCCACGGCUCAACCGUGGAGGGUCAUUGGAAACUGGGGGACUUGAGUGCAGGAGAGGAGAGCGGAAUUCCACGU